RNAcentral lists this ribosomal RNA (228 nucleotides) under uncultured bacterium. RNAcentral's name for it is "partial 16S ribosomal RNA". It matches the Rfam family "Bacterial small subunit ribosomal RNA", at positions 568 to 796 of the family's 1533-position model. The record is from RNAcentral.
UGCGUAGGCGGACUAAUAAGUCAGUGGUGAAAUCUUUCGGCUCAACCGGGAAACUGCCAUUGAUACUGUAGUCUUGAGUUCGGUUGAGGUAGGCGGAAUGUGUAAUGUAGCGGUGAAAUGCUUAGAUAUUACACAGAACACCAAUUGCGUAGGCAGCUUACUAGACCGACACUGACGCUGAGGCACGAAAGCGUGGGGAGCGAACAGGAUUAGAUACCCUGGUAGUCC